UUUGCGACCUAUAUCCAGGCCACG
Molecule: microRNA, 24 nt
Filed under: Strongyloides ratti
Lineage: Eukaryota; Metazoa; Nematoda; Chromadorea; Rhabditida; Strongyloididae
Description: str-miR-7880s-3p
Source: miRBase by way of RNAcentral